Molecule: long non-coding RNA, 2465 nt
Organism: Anser brachyrhynchus (Pink-footed goose)
Lineage: Eukaryota; Metazoa; Chordata; Aves; Anseriformes; Anatidae
Source: Ensembl
GUUUCUCUCGGGGAGCAAGUGACUCCAGAGACAAACGGGGCUUCUACGCUGACCCAGCAUACUGAUGAAGCAGGUAAGAAGUGGCUUGAGAGUAAUGGCUCCCAAAGGAGCACGACAAACCACGUUCUUGGCAACUGUCUUUAUUUGCACAAACGUGGGGCUGGUUUUAGGAUACAGAUACAGGACAUUGCUCCAAGUUGUUCAGUGCCUCCUUCCUCAGUUAAGCACAUUCAUUGGUCUCAGUGGGACCUAAGAAACAGCUUUCCGUGCUGGUACACAGAGAGGAGUUUGGCAGAAGGAGGUAGCUUCAAAUUAUAGCCAAAACUGUGGAUGAUAAGGGCUCAAUUUAUAGCCAAGCGGAACAGGCCUGGAGAUCACGAUCACGGUGCUGAGGUGCUGCUUCUGCAGUCUAGUCCUGGUAUUAGAAUUCACAUGUUCGGUUAACACAAAGACCUCAGUCCUGUGCGAGCCCUGACAUUCAGGCAAUUCAGGUACGGUAAAACAGCAGGCGAUAGAUAACAUGUCCCUCAACACUUCUUCCACCCAUUUCCUAUGGAUUUCUUCUCUUCACGUUGUUCAUUGUUCAUUCACUUUUUUUUUUUUCCCAUUGCAGUAAUCAAUGCAGCUAUGAACGAGGAGGCCCCAAAGACUUCGACAGAUGUUUGUGACCAUCAGAUGGAAAAGACAACAGAGGAAAACACUGUUCCCAAAGACAGAGAGACUGCAACAUCUGCACAAGAUGGCAAGUUUCUCAGAUGCGCAGAAACUCUCAACUUGAUGAAAACUGAAGACAAGUGUCCAAAAGGUAAGGGCUAUCCGGACCAGACCAUUCCACUGGCACAGCCGAGGGAAGCACUACGCCAGCCCAAAAGCACCAUGCCGUCUGCUCUUGCCAGAAUGAGAGCCAUGAACGAAAUCAUCAAGGGCCAUGGACAUUCUGUAAGACGGCCACGUCACCAAGGAGCUGCUGGGCUGCCAGUUCUAAGUGUCUGUGAAGAAGAAAACCCAAAAGUUCAAAGAGGCGACAUCUCUUCAGAGGGGAGGCUCCCUAAGCCUAAAGAGCUGCAGAUGAGGGAGGCACUGAGAGGGCCCAAAGGCAAAAGCAAUUGUGCAGCUUCCAGAAUUAAGGCAAUCAACGACAUCCACAGGAAUCUAAAACAUUCUCAAAGGCCUCCAAACCAGGAAGGAGCUGCUUUUCUGGUGGAGGAUGUGCAAGGGCUCAAAACCACAGACUCCAACCUAAAGAACAAAAACGCCAGCUUCAUGGUCUAUGUGUUGUGCAGUAAUGCACAACAAGUUGACAAUAAAGAGAUGAAAUGACUUAAAACUAAUAGGCUUGUCUGAACUUUUGCUGCCUGUCUCUCUUGCUAGGAGUCUCAGCAGUCUUCUAGCAUCUUUCUUCGGCAAAGGCAUGUCUAAAAGAAAAAACGUAAAAAGCACAAUCAGAGGAAGAACUCUGGAUCUCCAAAGUACCAAUCUGCAGGUCUGAUAUACAGGCUGCCAUUAUGUCAGGAUAACAACAAACAGCUGCCCAGGAAGAUUAAUCUGACUUUGAAUUCAGUAGACACUGCAAUACUAUGCUCCUCAGAAAAUCAGGACAUUUGUGACCUGCUUUUCAUCCCAAAAGAUGGAUUCUUCUGCCAUCAGUCAGGUGCUAGUAAACUGCCAGCACGAGAGCAACACACAGACUACAUGGAUAUAUAGUUGAGACCAGGGGUAAAGGGGACCACAGGGGUCAGGUCCAUAGACCCUCGCAAUAGUUGCUUCCAGUCAGUAGAAAACUACCUUUUACUCCUCAACAUCAGAAACUCUGCUUGCAGAUGUUAGAAGGAACCAAACCUUCCAACCUCCUGGCCCCUGCCCCAACAAGAAUCCAUCUCCAAUCUCUAGAGAAGGACUAGCUCCUAGAAAGACUGGCUGCACAGGACACCAAGAGAACAAGCACAAAUGUUGUGUGAGCAUGCGUGAGUGAAGGGUGGGUGUGAGUGUAAGCCUUUGCCAGUCCUUCCUUUCCCACAGCAUCCCUACUGGCACGAUGCUACAGAGCCUCUGUGACCCUGAGCCACAGCUGCGCAAGUGUGGUGGUGCCCUGUGGCAACAGGGAUCGUAGGCCUGGAGCCCAAGAAGGGGCAAGAGUAUCUUCUCUGGCUGAAGCGGCCAGCCAGCAGCUAACUUGGCUAUCAGCAAAGUCCUUCAGGACAACUUCACCACCUUACUGCCAGAACAGUCACUACUGUAUUCGGAUAUUACUUUUUAAAAGAAGUUUCCUGCAUAUAGGUGAAGCUGUACUAUCAGAGUGCAUCUUUCCCCUAUACAAAUACCCUUUUAAGUAAAUUAUUCCUUCACAUACAACUUCAUGCAUUUUUUUGGACAUAGGUGGUCCAGCACAAAGCCUGAUACUGUUCAUGUGAUAAAUGGGCAGGAGGGGGCAAGAGAAUAAAAAUGAAAUGCUGAAGGUAUUUGCA